This 493-nucleotide ribosomal RNA is filed under the name uncultured bacterium. Its description in RNAcentral is "partial 16S ribosomal RNA". It matches the Rfam family "Bacterial small subunit ribosomal RNA", at positions 28 to 507 of the family's 1533-position model. The record is from RNAcentral.
GACGAACGCUGGCGGCGUGCUUAACACAUGCAAGUCGAACGGUGAAGGGACCGGUUUUUGCUGGUUCUGGAUGAGUGGCGAACGGGUGAGUAACACGUGAGUAACCUGCCCCCUUCUUCUGGAUAACCGCAUGAAAGUGUGGCUAAUACGGGAUAUUCUGCGCCUGCUGCAUGGUGGGUGUGGGAAAGAUAUUGUUUCGGUGGGGGAUGGGCUCGCGGCCUAUCAGCUUGUUGGUGGGGUGAUGGCCUACCAAGGCGGUGACGGGUAGCCGGCCUGAGAGGGUUGACGGUCACACUUGGACUGAGGCACGGGCCAGGCUCCUACGGGGGGCAGCAGUUGGGGAUAUUGGACAAUGGGGGCAAGGCUGAUGCAGCGGCGCCGCGUGAGGGGUGGAGGCCUUCGGGUUGUAAACCUCUUUCGCCAGUGAAGCAGGCCUGUCCCUUUUGUGGGUGGGUUGACGGUAGCUGGAUAAGAAGCGCCGGCUAACUACGUG